Molecule: non-coding RNA, 47 nt
Organism: Ictidomys tridecemlineatus (thirteen-lined ground squirrel)
Lineage: Eukaryota; Metazoa; Chordata; Mammalia; Rodentia; Sciuridae
Source: Rfam
UCAAAGGCCCUUUUCAGGGCCGCCCAACCACUCAAAGAAAGAGCUGU